CGGCAAAAGCUCAAAUUUGAAAUCUGACGUCUGAUCGGGCGUUCCGAGUUGUAAUUUGGAGGAGCGGCUUCGGGAGCGGCACCGUCCUAAGUUCCGUGGAACAGGACAUCACAGAGGGUGAGAAUCCCGUGUCUAGACGGGGUCAGCCGGUUCCCAUGCGAAGUGCUUCCGACGAGUCGAGUUGUUUGGGAAUGCAGCUCAAAAUGGGUGGUAAAUUUCAUCUAAAGCUAAAUAUUGGCGAGAGACCGAUAGCGCACAAGUAGAGUGAUCGAAAGAUGAAAAGCACUUUGAAAAGAGAGUUAAAAAGUACGUGAAAUUGUUGAAAGGGAAGCGCUUGAGAUCAAAACUCGGCCUUAGGUGAAGCUUCGAGUUUGCUCGGAGCCGNCUCGCCUUUGACCGGGCCAGCAUCGGUUUUGAUGGCGGRARAAACGGUAUGGGAAUGUAGCUCUCUUCGGAGAGUGUUAUASCCCAUGUCAAAUGCCGCCAAUCRAGACCGAGGAACCCCCGCGCUUCGGCUAGGAUGCUGGCGUAAUGGUCUUCAGCGACCCGUCUUGAA
Molecule: ribosomal RNA, 556 nt
Filed under: Octospora svrcekii
Lineage: Eukaryota; Fungi; Ascomycota; Pezizomycetes; Pezizales; Pyronemataceae
Description: partial large subunit ribosomal RNA
Rfam family: Eukaryotic large subunit ribosomal RNA
Source: RNAcentral